UACGAAGGGAGCUAGCGUUGUUCGGAAUCACUGGGCGUAAAGCGCACGUAGGCGGAUUUGUCAGUCGGGGUUGAAAUCCCGAGGCUCAACCUCGGAACUGCCUCCGAUACAGCAAAUCUCGAGUCCGGGAGAGGUGGGUGGAAUUCCUAGUGUAGAGGUGAAAUUAGUAGAUAUUAGGAAGAACACCAGUGGCGAAGGCGGCCCACUGGCCCGGUACUGACGCUGAGGUGCGAAAGCGUGUGGAGCAAACAGG
Molecule: ribosomal RNA, 253 nt
Filed under: uncultured bacterium
Lineage: Bacteria
Description: partial 16S ribosomal RNA
Rfam family: Bacterial small subunit ribosomal RNA
Source: RNAcentral